UUAACCCCUAGAGGCAUUACAGGUGUGGUUGCUGUGUCACAUGUACAUCAGUAGGUGGCAGAGAGGAGAGAUGCCAUGUCCAUGCUUAGUGUUCUGACCAGUGAACAUCUGAAUGCUUAGUAGCCUAACAUU
Acomys russatus (golden spiny mouse) is the source of this 132-nucleotide small nucleolar RNA. RefSeq annotates it as small nucleolar RNA SNORA17. NCBI's taxonomy places the organism in Eukaryota, Metazoa, Chordata, Mammalia, Rodentia, Muridae. The record is from RefSeq and is a predicted model, not a curated record. The transcript has a single exon.